RNAcentral lists this ribosomal RNA (1878 nucleotides) under human gut metagenome. RNAcentral describes it as "bacterial LSU rRNA". It matches the Rfam family "Bacterial large subunit ribosomal RNA", at positions 3 to 1977 of the family's 2925-position model. The record is from RNAcentral.
UCAAGCUACAAAGAGCACAAGGGGAAUGCCUUGGCACCGAGAGCCGAUGAAGGACGUGACUAACUGCGAUAAGCUACGGGGAGCUGUAAGUGAGCGUUAUAUCCGUAGAUUUCCGAAUGGAGCAAUCCGAUUAGAGGAAAGUCUAAUCAUCAUAUACUGAAUACAUAGGUAUAUGAGGGGAACCGCCUGAACUGAAACAUCUAAGUAGGGCGAGGAAGAGAAAUCAACAGAGAUUCCGUAAGUAGUGGCGAGCGAACGCGGAAGAGGCCAAACCUAAUGUAGUAAUAUGUUAGGGGUUCGGACAGUAAAAUGAAUUGUCGAGAUUUAGCCGAAUGUCAUGGGAAGGGCAAUCAAAGAAGGUGAAAAUCCUGUAGGCGAAAAGUUAAGACAUCAGACUGUAUCCAGAGUACCGCCGGACACGUGAAACCCGGUGGGAAUACGGGGGGACCAUCCUCCAAGCCUAAAUACUACUCGGUGACCGAUAGAGAAGAAGUACUGUGAAGGAAAGGUGAAAAGCACCCCGGAAGGGGAGUGAAAGAGAACCUGAAACCUUGUGUUUACAAGCACCGAAAGUUCAUCAACGAACGAUCGGGUACCUUUUGUAGAAUGGUCCGGCGAGUGAAUGUAACUGGCAAGGUUAAGCACUUAAGGUGUGAAGCCGUAGCGAGAGCGAGUCUGAAAAGGGCGCAUGAAGUCAGUUGUAUUCGACCCGAAACCGGGUGACCUACCCAUGUCCAGGCUGAAGUGCAGGUAAAACUUCAUGGAGGGCCGAACCGACUCCCGUUGAAAUGGUAGCGGAUGAGGUGUGGGUAGCGGAGAAAUUCCAAUCGAACCCGGAGAUAGCUGGUUCUCUCCGAAAUAGCUUUAGGGCUAGCCUUGGAAUAGAUUACUGGAGGUAAAGCACUGAAUUGGCUAGGGGCCGAGAGGUUACUGAACCUUAUCAAACUAAGAAUGCCAGAUAAUCGUUUUCCAGGAGUCAGACAGUGGGAGAUAAGUUUCAUUGUCAAAAGGGAAACAGCCCAGACCUACAGCUAAGGUCCCAAAGUAUAGUUAAGUGGAAAAGGAUGUGGAAUUGCAUAGACAACCAGGAUGUUGGCUUAGAAGCAGCCACUCAUUAAAAGAGUGCGUAAUAGCUCACUGGUCGAGUGAUUCUGCGCCGAAAAUUUAACGGGGCUAAACUAUACACCGAAGCUUAGGAUACCGCAAGGUAUGGUAGGAGAGCGUUCUGUACGGAGUGAAGUCGUAGCGAAAGCGGCGGUGGACUGUACAGAAGUGAGAAUGCCGGAAUAAGUAGCGAGAAUUAAGUGAGAAUCUUAAUGGCCGAAAGUCUAAGGUUUUUGGAGGAAGGUUCGUCCGCUCCAAGUAAGUCGGGAGCUAAGGUCAGGCCGAAAGGCGUAGCCGAUGCACAAACGGUUGAUAUUCCGUUACCGUCUACAAUUUAAACAAAGGGACACAUACAAAGCGUUUAACCCGGGCGAUGGUUGACCCGGGCGCAAGGGACUGAAAUAAGAGUAGGGAAGUAAAUGUGGCGUAUGGCGAGAAAAGCUUUGUGAAUAGAAGUAGACGCCCGUACCGCAAACCGACACAGGUGGACAGGAAGAGAAUUCUAAGGCCAGCGGGAGAAGGGUAGUUAAGGAACUCGGCAAAUUGACUCCGUAACUUCGGAAUAAGGAGUGCUCGAAAGAGCCGCAGAGAAUAGGCCCAGGCGACUGUUUAGCAAAAACACAGGUCUCUGCCAAAUCGAAAGAUGAAGUAUAGGGGCUGACACCUGCCCGGUGCCGGAAGGUUAAGAGGAGGAGUGCAAGCUCCGAAUUGAAGCCCCGGUAAACGGCGGCCGUAACUAUAACGGUCCUAAGGUAGCGAAAUUCCUUGUCGGGU